This 72-nucleotide transfer RNA is filed under the name Elusimicrobiota bacterium. RNAcentral's name for it is "Elusimicrobia bacterium (groundwater metagenome) tRNA-Arg". It matches the Rfam family "tRNA". From Rfam's summary of the family: Transfer RNA (tRNA) molecules are approximately 80 nucleotides in length. Their secondary structure includes four short double-helical elements and three loops (D, anti-codon, and T loops). Further hydrogen bonds mediate the characteristic L-shaped molecular structure. tRNAs have two regions of fundamental functional importance: the anti-codon, which is responsible for specific mRNA codon recognition, and the 3' end, to which the tRNAs corresponding amino acid is attached (by aminoacyl-tRNA synthetases). tRNAs cope with the degeneracy of the genetic code in two manners: having more than one tRNA (with a specific anti-codon) for a particular amino acid; and 'wobble' base-pairing, i.e. permitting non-standard base-pairing at the 3rd anti-codon position. The record is from RNAcentral. Lineage: Bacteria; Pseudomonadati; Elusimicrobiota.
GCGGCUAUAGCUCAAUGGAUAGAGUGUCGCUCUCCGAAGGCGAAGAUGGCGGUUCAAUUCCACCUAGCCGCA